CGACGGAGGCGCUCCAGAGGUGGACCGGCGAGAGCCGCCCUGCCCCCCGCGCCAGAGCUCCGCCGCGUCGUUAGAUAUCUCAACCGUGCCCGCCGCAAACAAUUUAUUGCAGAAUUUCAUGGAAGGGGGCGACAGCUGAUUUCAGUUGUGGCUUGCUAUAAGGAUCUGCGUUGUUUUCAGGCAGAAGUCUCAGGAGACUGACAGCGAAUGAAGAUUAUAAAGAUAACUGCGACAUCGAAUACAUGUCCCUUGACUCUUAUCCAACACUGUCAAUGACGGUAUGAUUCCCAACUGCUCAUUGCAGGAAGGCUCCUGAUUUUGCCAUCCCUACAAAAAAAAUCAAUCGUUCUAGCAGAGAGCAACUAUUACUGCUGCUCUGAAGUCCAGCUCAGACGUGCAUAGUUCAGAAUGUUGAGGGUUGCAUAACGGGAUCUGUUGGAUGCUGACUCGUGGAUCAUUUUCACCAUCCGACACAGCCUCCGUUGGCGACUCUGUUUCCGGCUAGCUGUCUCCAACAUAGAAGUCUGCAUCGCUGACGAUGAACGACUAUGUUACUUCUGCAAGCGUGUGGCCUCUAAUUUUUCUCUAUAAUAGAGAAACUGGAUUGUAGAUGUUGCCAAUCUUUUUUAAGAUUAAACUGAGGUAAAUCAAUCCCCUUCGUAAGCUAUUACUAUGUAUAUUCUUUUAUACAUACCAGUUUUGUUUCCAUAUAUAUUUAAAGUGUGCACCUGUAUUUUACAUAGAUAACUGACUGCUCAGUUCUGGUCAUUGUCAAUAUCAACAAAAUUUAUAUGUACUGGCCAUUGUCAAUAUGAACAAAAUUUAUAUGUAUUUUCAUGUGUGGUCUACGAAAAGAAAAUACAUGGAGAUGCAUAUGUGCACCUCUGUAUGCAGCUUAUUUAGAAAUUGGGAGGGAAAUAUCAGAUAUCACUAACCGAGAUUUAUUAUAUGUUAGAUAAUAUCCUAGCUUUCCAAAGUUUGGUAGUUCCACUUUCACUUGCACCAUUCUCAAUCAUUUUCACCUCUCAUGUUCUUGCAUGUUUGGCCCUCAAAUCAAUUUUGCAUUGUUCAUCUUACUGCCACCAGGCUUUAUUGUAUAUGCUACAUGCUUUUCAUUCUAUGGCUUGCUAGCUUAUUUCCUUUUUCUUUGUAUUCUGUCUUUUCCAGCCGCAUGCCUUUUGCAUGUGCCCAGCAUACAAACUGAACAAUUGCAUAUAAAAGAAGUAACAUCUCAUGCUAAUUGUGUCUUGUGUGUAAGCUUUUAAGUGGUUUACAGAAAUAUUUUUGGAUAUCAGCAAAAGAUUGAUACGAAAUCUAGACAAGUAGCAGAUAAUAAUACAAAAUUCAUAGUUAAUGUAAUUUAAUAAAAUCAUGUAUAUUAAGUAUCUCAAAUUGCCUACUAGAUGUAUAUCUCCCAACAGAUUUUGCCGUUCUGAUGGUCAUCUCAGACUAGAAAAAGAACUACAAAUGCUUCAGUUGGCAUUAGAAAUGCUUAAUUUCUUUCUGUUUGGAUUUCUUUGGUUGCAAGUAUUCUUGAUUCUUUUUAGUUUGUUACCCGUCUCUGCAUUCAUUGUUCUGUCCAUCGAGUUUUCCAUCUACCUGAAUGUGCCCAUUGCAGGCAGCGACACCAUGCUCUGCUGCUCUGGUCGAUGGAACCGACCAGGUAUCUGAUGUAGAGCCUUAUAAGGAUGUGAACAUGGCAGUGGCAGUUCUACCAACACAUUUGUUGCGUAGCAUCUAAGUUAACGAGUUACUGUGCGCUACAACCACAUUUGCUGGGGUAGCCAAUAGCUAAAUUAAUGAGUUAUUGCGCUAUUUCCGAUUAUGUUCCUGUCUGGAGCUGAAUUGUGAGAUGCACCUGUGUUUAUGUCCGUCCAAUUCCAUGGUGAGUGUUUUUCCUACCAUAUUGCAGUUCACCGCAAGUUGUUGAAACUGAAGGAAAAAAGAGCGAAGAUAUGGAUGUGGCAACAUACGCUUUCAGGAGCAGAUUUAUAGUCAGGGAAUUAGUUUCCGAGGUCUGCAGAUAGCAGCUACAAAUGUUCGUUGCUGAAGGAGUUAACUCCAGAUGCCUGCAGAUACCAGCUUAAAAAUUUGGUGCUUGAGGAGUUAAUAUUGAAUGCCUACGGAUGUUAUCUGCAACUAUCCAGUGUCUAAAUUACCAUCGGCAGUCCAUAGAAAUAUGCAUAAAACUUAUUUAGAGUACAUUAUGUUGCUGUUAUGUUAUGUAUUUUUUUAUUACCAGCUGGUACUGUAUUGUGCUUUAAUUUGUAGUUCCUUUUCUCUGCUAUGAAAUGCUUUGUCUAGAUAUAGACAGUGUACUAGGGACUAUUUUCUUAUUUUUGUGCAUUAGGUACUCCUAUUUUGUUUUCCGCUUGAGUUUAUUUGUAUAAGCAGAGAACAAAGCUUCAUGUACUAAUCAACCAAAAGGUAGAAUUGAGGACACCGCGGUUAUUUUCUUGAGGCCAA
Long non-coding RNA from Lolium rigidum, 2466 nucleotides. RefSeq lists it as uncharacterized. The record is from RefSeq and is a predicted model, not a curated record. NCBI's taxonomy places the organism in Eukaryota, Viridiplantae, Streptophyta, Magnoliopsida, Poales, Poaceae. The transcript has 4 exons.